RNAcentral lists this ribosomal RNA (1551 nucleotides) under Triticum aestivum (bread wheat). Its description in RNAcentral is "partial small subunit ribosomal RNA". The record is from RNAcentral. Lineage: Eukaryota; Viridiplantae; Streptophyta; Magnoliopsida; Poales; Poaceae.
AUGUUCAUUUCCUUGCUACUUGUGCUACUUGUUCCCCUAUACUUGUAUCUCAAGGCUAGCAGUAGAUCUAAGAACACAUCAGUGCUUCCCACAAACUGGCCAAUAUUGCAUAUGUUCCCUUCCUUCAUGGUCAAUGUCCACAACUUGCAUGACUAUCUCACCUUGGUCCUCAUCGGAUUAGGCCACAACUUCAGGGCGCACGGCCCACCCGGGACCGGGAUGCGGUUCUUCAUCACGUGCGACCCUGCUAAUGUCCGGCACAUCUUCACGACCAACUACACCAACUUCCCCAAGGGUGCUGAGUUCGUCACUAUUUUCGACAUCAAGGGUGGCACCCUCUUCACCGUCGAUGGUGAAGAUGCUGCCGCCCAGCGUGGGAAAUUGAAGAGCGUGCUCAGCAACCCGCGGAUGAUUGCUAGUACGGAGGCAUGUUGCCGCAACAAGGUGGAGAACAUCCUUCUCCCAUUGCUCGCCUACAUGGCGAGCACCGGCACUCCUUUUGACGUGCAAGAACUGAUGUCGAGGUUUAUGUUUGACCUGGCUACUAUGUCUCUCUUUGGUGUGGAUCCUGGCCUCCUAUCAUUAGACAAACCACCCAUGGACGCCGUGGUUGCUCUGAACACAGUCAUGGAGGUGGGAUUUUUCCGGCACGCCAUGCCAUCUUGUUGCUGGAAAUUAAUGAGGUGGCUAAACAUCGGUCCCGAAAGAAAGCUCUGCACAGCGCACAAAGUGCUACGAAGGUUCCUCGUGGAGAUGAUGGAGAGGAGGAAGAUGGAGAUGAUGGAGAGGAGGAAGAUGGAGAUGAUGGAGAGGAAGAUCAACACAUAUCAUUUUGGUAGUGACGACGAACAAGAUGGUGUGGAUAUUAUGUCUUCCUACCCAAACUACGUUGACGAUGACUUGUCCUAUGCCAAGAACAUUGGCUACAUGCUCGCUGCAAGGGACACAAUUGGAACAACCCUGACAUGGAUUUUUUACAACCUUGCCCAGAACCCAAACAUUGUGUCAAUCAUCCGGAGUGAAAUCUGGCCCAUUGCAUCAUGCAAAGUAGCAUCCGGUGUGGAUGCCAUGAUGAUCUUCGAGCCGAACGAAAUCAAAUCUCUAGUCUAUCUGAGAGCCGUCUUGUACGAGACUCUUAGGUUGUACCCGCCGGCACCUUUCGAGCGCAAGACGGUGGCCGCCGAUGAUAUUAUGCCGAGUGGCCAUGAGGUGCGCACCGGUGACACCAUCCUUAUUUCUCUCUACUCACUGGGAAGAAUGGAGGGCGUGUGGGGUAAUGACUGUCUCGACUAUAACCCAGAUAGGUGGCUCUCGGAAGAUGGCAACAAUCUGAGGUACGUACCAUCUCACAAGUUCUUGGCCUUCAACUCGGGCCCUAGGAUAUGCCUUGGGAAGGAAAUUGCGGUUAUGCAGAUGAAGACCGUCAUCGCCUCAGUGUUGUGGAACUUUGAUGUGGAGGUGAUGGAAGGGCAAAGCAUCCAGCCCAAGCCAUCUUGUAUACUGGAGAUGAAAAAUGGGUUCAUAGUUAAGCUAAAGAAGCGAGAGAUGUAA